This 646-nucleotide non-coding RNA is filed under the name Pongo abelii (Sumatran orangutan). Lineage: Eukaryota; Metazoa; Chordata; Mammalia; Primates; Hominidae. The record is from RNAcentral.
CCGUGGGAGGGAAGGCAUUCUCUGUCAAGCUGCUGUCACCUUACCUGAAGUAAGGAGUCCACGCCUGCAUGUCCGAGGAAAACAGUUUUCUCAAACACAUUAGUUGAAAAACUGAAGACACUGCCUAAAAUACAAGCUGAGUUAGAGACAGCCCUUGUAAGACUAGGAAAGGCCUUGUGAGGACAUAACCAGGAAGGAGAGUCCUCACCAGAACCUGACCAUACCGGCACCCUGAUCUCAAACUUCCAGCUUCCAGAACCAUGAGAAAUCAAUGUUUGUUGUUUUAGCCACCCAGUCUAUAGAAAUUUGUUAUAGCCACCCUAGCUGACUACCACAUUGGACAUCACAGCAAACACUACAACCAAUAAAAGAAAUGGCUGAAAUCCUUUGGAACCAAUAUGACCAACUGGAGUCGGUGCAGAAGGAGCUUGCUGACAACACAGCCUGAAUUUCCACUGUAUGUUUCAUACCAACUCCUCCUGAAUUUGCACAUGUGAUACAUGAGAUAGCAUGAAGAGAUAACUGAGCAUGCCCAAGGACUUUCCAGACUUCCGCUUUCCUUCCACCAAUCACCUGCUAAUCUCAGAAUCCACCCCCUGAAACUUUUCUAAUAAAAAUACUGUUUUGAAGCCAGCACGGGGAGACA